CUUUCUUCCUUCCUUCCUACUUUCUUUCUUUUUUUUUUUUUUUUUUUUAGACAGAGUCUCACUCUGUCACCCAGGCUUGCGUGCAGUGGCGUGAUCUUGGCUCACUGCAACCUCUGCUGCCAAGGUUCAAGUGAUUCUCCUGCUUCAGCCUCCCGAGUAGCUGGGAUUACAGGUGUGUGCCACCAUGCCCGGCUAAUUUUUGUAUUUGUAGUAGAGAUGGGGUUUCACCGUAUUGGUCAGGCUGGUCUUGAACUCCUGAUCCACCCACCUCGGGCUCCCAAAGUGCUGGGAUUACAGGCGUGAGCCACCGUGCCUGGCCCCUUUCUUUCUUUCUUUCUUUCUUUCUUUCUUUCUUUCUUUCUUUCUUUCUUUCUUUCUUUCUUUCUUUCUUUCUUUCUUUCUUCUUCCUUUCUUUCUCUCUCUCUCUUUCUCUCUCUUUCUUUCUUUCUUUCUCUCUCUCUUUCUUUCUCCCUCCCUUCCUUCCUUCCCUCCUCCCUCCCUCCUUCCCUCCCUUUCUCUCUCUCUCUCUCUUCCUGCAUCAUCACUUUCCUCGCUGACAGUGUGGUUACAAGGACCAGAGCUGAGGGUGGGCAAUGGACUCAGCACCCAGGAGGUGCCUGGAGCCAACGCACACCUGGCUCUGCAUAGAGUUGGGGGAGAACAUCUGCACGCAGCUGUAACUCACAGAGAACCUGCCGAGCAGCCACCGAUUUCAUCUGUCAAUCUUGGGCCGACGACAUCUGGGGCCAGAAUUUACAAAAGGCACAACUAUCAAUUUCAAGGAGAUGGGAUCAGUGUCUUCUGAAUCUUUCAGGAUGCUGGCCAGCUUUUAACCCCCAUGAUGAGAAGACAAAAGUUUGAAUCAUCCCCAACUUGGAAAGCUGUCUCAGAUUAUGGAGAAACAUCAGUUUUAUUUUUACUUUGAUCCUGUAUCUAUUUUGGGAAGCAUUUUGGGGAACGAUCUCCUCCAACAUGUCUGGGCUUUUCUUGAGAACUCUUUACAAAAGGGCCAAUGGGUAAGCAAAAAAUUAGGAGGCGAAGGCAUUUCAGCGAGUUCUAGCAUUCCCGCCCCAGUUCCUGUUAGCAUUUUGGGCAUUCAGAGCGGGCUCCAUUGCUGGAAUAAAUGGCCUCAUUGUCCUGGCUGCAGGGAUGUGUCUCUGGGAGUUACAAGACUGGCAUUUCCUUUUUCUUUUUUUAUUUAUAACUUCUAUUAAUAGAUACUCCAAGGAUGAAGGGAAUUUUAAGAAAGGGAAAAGCUGGGCUUCAAAUAAUGCAUUGAUUCUUCUAGCCCUCACAUCGUCACGACAGAGCCAAUGACUGGGAGAUAACUCAGUGUGCUGGGAGCUCUCAGAAAACUGCUCACCCUUUACUUGCUUAUAUUUGGAAAGUAAGGCGAGCUACCCACUGUAUUUAAGAGGUGCUAUUGCCUCACCAUCUUAGCAUUAGACAAUGGAUGUGGGAUACAUUCGUUUUCCUACCUAUGUGAGAAGAGCCAAACUUACCCAUUGCUGACACAGGAGGAAGACACAGACCCUGUUCAAAGGCUCCAGGCCGUCCUUUUCCAUGAGAAAUCUCAAAAACAAGAAGGUUGAUCAGCUAUGUCAGGGGUCAGCAAAUUACAGCCCAAAGGCCAAAUCUGGCCCACCACCUAAUUUUGUACAACCUACAAGCUAAGAAUGUUUUCUAUAUUUUUAAAUGACUAAAAAAAAAAAAAAUCAGAAGAAUAUUUUGUGACACAUAAGAAUUACACGAACUUCACAUUUCAGUGUCCAUGUAGGAUAUCCUCAUUGUUUGCGGAUUCUCAGUUUGCAAAUUUGGCUACUGGCUGAACUGUAUUUUUAAGCCCAAUAGCAAUUCUGGAGGUGCUUCUGUGAUCAUUCUUAGACAUGCACAAAGCAGGGAAAAGUUUAAGUUGCCCAGUGCACGUGUUCCUCACUGAGGCCAAACAGGGCGAUGCCCUGCCUCUUUGUUUCACACUGAACUAAUGUCUUUUCUGUGGUCUAUUGAGUGCCAUGUUUUUCACAUUUUGUUGCUUUUUAUUGGUGAUUUCAAUAUUUAAAAUGGCCCCCAAGGCCAGGCAUGGUGGCUCAUGCCUGUAAUGCCAGCACUUUGGGAGGCCAAGACAGGAAGAUCACUUGAGCCCAGGGGUUCAAGACCAGCCUGGACAACAUAGUGAGACCUUGCCUCUACAAAAAUUUCUUUAAAAGAAUUAGCCAGGCAUGGUGGUGCGCACCUCUAUUCCCAGCUUUGGGAGGCUGAAGUAGA
Molecule: long non-coding RNA, 2265 nt
Filed under: Homo sapiens (human)
Lineage: Eukaryota; Metazoa; Chordata; Mammalia; Primates; Hominidae
Description: HSALNT0269428
Source: RNAcentral